Molecule: long non-coding RNA, 1427 nt
Organism: Zonotrichia leucophrys gambelii
Lineage: Eukaryota; Metazoa; Chordata; Aves; Passeriformes; Passerellidae
Exons: 6
Source: RefSeq, a predicted model, not a curated record
CAUGAGGAACUGCACUGCAGAGAACAGAAACCAGCGAGAAGCACACUUAGGCAUGAGUCCCUGGAGAUACAUGUGUUCACCAGCAGUGACAUGAGAGGAUCCACUUGAAAAUUAAACAAGUUCAUGCCUCCUGCCUUUAAGGAGUAGGGGAGGAAACUCCAAGGUAAUGAAGAAACACAAGUUGGAAAUGAAAGACAGAAUAGAUCAAUAUUUAUUCACUAAGCCAGUGCAAAUAAUACAAGCUGCAGCCACAAGCCAGAGGUCAGACCUACAGCAGAAGGAACACAAAAAUGGAGAGAAACCAGUGCCUCAUCCCGAGUGGUGCUGAAGACUUGAUAAGUCAAAAUAAGUCCUUGUAUCUUUUAUGUUUUCUCUUUCACAAAGACAAAAACACAACAUGGGAGCCCGUGACUGUGACACAAUAAUUAAAACGCAAUAGGAUUAAAGUGAUCAGUCGGAAGGACAGCUCAGUGACAGAAUCCCCGUGUGCCCGGCGUGGCAGGGAUGUGAUGUGCAGAGCACUCUCCCCUGUGGCAUAAAUCUGCCACUGCACAGGGAUUGCUUUGUACCGCAGCAAAGCCGCUACUGCCGGGGACAGAGGAGAAAACCAGCGGAAAUGAAACUCGAUGUAAUCCUCUUUUCCUGUUAACUAUUCCAUAUCCUACAUGGGUACCCACAGAAAAGUCACUUAUGAAAGGUAAGAAGCAAAAAACCAACAAAAACAAGAAGAAGAAGAAGAAGAACCUUUGCUAUAGUGACUAUAGUCCAAACUGAAGCACACAGGAGACAGCAUUUCUAAGCACAAAUGCUUGGUCACGUAAAUGGAAAACUUCUCUACAAGUUGCGUAUUUAAUUAACUCUUAUCUAAAGAGGCCUGGCAUAGGAAGAAGCUGUGUCCAUGGUGCAGGGUGCCCUGUCCCAGCUGCUUCCUUGGCCCCCUGCUACGUCCAUGCUGCUCACACAGACACAAAUCUUUGCCAGAAGCAGAGGGGAAGUGCUGACCUUGUGACCUGCCACCACAAAACCACUGUUCCAACACUUCCUUCCUGAGAGCCAGCACUGAACCACCACGGGCAUGUCCCUUCCAACUCUGCUGUUCCCUUUCUGCUGCGCUUCAGGUAACAGUCAAUAUAAUCUCCUGCCUCAGACUGGUCCAAAUCCUCUUUGUGCUUCGCAAUCACGCCUUUCACAAAAUAUUGAAGUUUCUCCCAGUGCCUGAAGAUUUUCCUGAAGGGUCCUGGCAACCAUCUCAUGAUCAAAGGAAAAGCAUUAUAAAGCUGACCCAAGGAAGUGAGGCCAUUUUCACCACAGGCAAGCUCUUGAACAGCAGCAACCACCCUGAUCCACAUUCCAGAAGGUUUUCACGCAGGUGCAGCUGCUGUUUCAUGGUCCAGCACAGGAUGGGUUAAAGAGUCACUCCCAGCACU